Molecule: ribosomal RNA, 408 nt
Filed under: uncultured bacterium
Lineage: Bacteria
Description: partial 16S ribosomal RNA
Rfam family: Bacterial small subunit ribosomal RNA
Source: RNAcentral
GACGAACGCUGGCGGCGUGCUUAACACAUGCACGUCGAACGAAGUGGCGAACGGGUGAGUAACGCGUAAUCAACCUGCCCUUCAGAGGGGUACCACAGUUGGAAACGACUGCUAAUACCGCAUACUGAAGGAGGGGAUUGCGUCUGAUUAGCUAGUUGGUGGUGUAACGUCCCACCAAGGCGAUGAUCAGGAGCCGGUCUGAGGGGAGGAACGGCAACAUUGGGACGGAGAUACGGCCCAGACUCCUACGGGAGGCAGCAGUGGGGAAUCUUCCGCAAUGGACGAAAGUCUGACGGAGCAACGCCGCGUGAGGGAUGACGGCCUUCGGGUGGUAAAGCUCUGUUAAUCGGGACGCGGUACCGGAAUAGAAAGCCACGGCUAACUACGUGCCAGCAGCCGCGGUAAUAC